RNAcentral lists this small nucleolar RNA (138 nucleotides) under Ornithorhynchus anatinus (platypus). The record is from RNAcentral. Lineage: Eukaryota; Metazoa; Chordata; Mammalia; Monotremata; Ornithorhynchidae.
CCCCUCUCAAAGUCACAACUGGAGAGUUUCCAGUACUCUACCAGUCUUGACUGGGGGAAGGAGAGUCAAGUAGAGGCAUAUCCAUUCCAUUCCUAACUUGGGCAGUGGCUAGCGAGUGGAAGGCAAUCUGCUACAAGU